GAUAGGAGAGAUUGAACGGGUUUUUAUUGAUAAAGAUUGUGGCAUGUUCAUUUUAGCUAAGGUGGCAAGUGUGGAGUAAGCUUGAGGCUAGGCUUUUGAUGGAUGUCAUGGUUAUUUGAAGCAUUUCGUGUUGUGUUUGUGAAAGUGGUUGUGUGAUGGUUUAUCUAGGUUUGUAGGUGGGGAAUUAUUGAAGUGAAGUCUUGUGCAUGGCUUAGUUAAUUGGAAAAGUUAGUGAGUGUUUUCUUAAGAA
This 250-nucleotide long non-coding RNA is filed under the name Capsicum annuum. RNAcentral's name for it is "long non-coding RNA (CANN_LNC015631)". The record is from RNAcentral. Lineage: Eukaryota; Viridiplantae; Streptophyta; Magnoliopsida; Solanales; Solanaceae.